GACUACUAGGGUAUCUAAUCCUGUUCGCUCCCCAUGCUUUCGCUCCUCAGCGUCAGUAACGGCCCAGAGACCCGCCUUCGCCACCGGUGUUCCUCCUGAUAUCUGCGCAUUCCACCGCUACACCAGGAAUUCCAGUCUCCCCUACCGCACUCCAGUCUGCCCGUACCCACUCCACGCCCCCAGCAAAGCCAGAGGAUUACACAGGCGACGCCACCAACCUCCAACGACCUCUUUACGCCCACACACUCCUGACCACCCUCCCCCACCACCUAUUACCGCGCCCGCUGCCACCUACUUCCC
This 300-nucleotide ribosomal RNA is filed under the name uncultured Gelria sp. RNAcentral describes it as "partial 16S ribosomal RNA". The record is from RNAcentral. Lineage: Bacteria; Bacillati; Bacillota; Clostridia; Thermoanaerobacterales; Thermoanaerobacteraceae.